RNAcentral lists this ribosomal RNA (253 nucleotides) under uncultured bacterium. Its description in RNAcentral is "partial 16S ribosomal RNA". It matches the Rfam family "Archaeal small subunit ribosomal RNA", at positions 474 to 727 of the family's 1478-position model. The record is from RNAcentral.
UACCAGCACCCCGAGUGGUCGGGACGUUUAUUGGGCCUAAAGCAUCCGUAGCCGGUUCUACAAGUCUUCCGUUAAAUCCAGCUGCUUAACAGAUGGGCUGCGGAAGAUACUAUGGAGCUAGGAGGCGGGAGAGGCAAGCGGUACUCGAUGGGUAGGGGUAAAAUCCGUUGAUCCAUUGAAGACCACCAGUGGCGAAGGCGGCUUGCCAGAACGCGCUCGACGGUGAGGGAUGAAAGUUGGGGGAGCAAACCGG